GCCUCGUUGGUGCAGCAGGCAGCGCGUCAGUCUCAUAAUCUGAAGUUCGUCAGUUCCAUCCUCACACCGGGCA
RNAcentral lists this transfer RNA (73 nucleotides) under Salmo salar (Atlantic salmon). It matches the Rfam family "tRNA". From Rfam's summary of the family: Transfer RNA (tRNA) molecules are approximately 80 nucleotides in length. Their secondary structure includes four short double-helical elements and three loops (D, anti-codon, and T loops). Lineage: Eukaryota; Metazoa; Chordata; Actinopteri; Salmoniformes; Salmonidae. The record is from Rfam by way of RNAcentral.